CCUACGGGCGGCAGCAGUGGGGAAUAUUGGGCAAUGGGCGCAAGCCUGACCCAGCAACGCCGCGUGAAGGAAGAAGGCUUUCGGGUUGUAAACUUCUUUUCUCAGGGACGAAGAAAGUGACGGUACCUGUGGAAUAAGCCACGGCUAACUACGUGCAAGCAGCCGCGGUAAUACGUAGGUGGCAAGCGUUAUCCGGAUUCAUUGGGUGUAAAGGGCGUGUAGGCGGGAGCGCAAGUCAGAUGGAAAAACUCAGGGGUCAACCCUUGGCCUGCAUUUGAACCUGUGUUUCUUGAGUGCUGGAGAGGCAAGCGGAAUGCCGGGUGUAGCGGUGAAAUGCGUAGAUAGACGGAGGAACACCAGUGGCGAAGGCGGAUUGCUGGACAGUAACUGACGCUGAGGCGCGAAAGCGUGGGGAGCAAACAGGAUUAGAUACCCCAGUAGUC
Molecule: ribosomal RNA, 443 nt
Filed under: uncultured bacterium
Lineage: Bacteria
Description: partial 16S ribosomal RNA
Rfam family: Bacterial small subunit ribosomal RNA
Source: RNAcentral